RNAcentral lists this ribosomal RNA (1020 nucleotides) under Triticum aestivum (bread wheat). RNAcentral describes it as "partial small subunit ribosomal RNA". The record is from RNAcentral. Lineage: Eukaryota; Viridiplantae; Streptophyta; Magnoliopsida; Poales; Poaceae.
AUGAUCUCAACCGCAUGGUUAGUAACUUAUUAUUGGGGUGCCGAGGAAGGAAAGAGAAAAACCCAUUGGUAUGCAUGGCAUAAGAUGACAAGGCCCACAUCUCUGGUGGGUCUUGGGUUUAGGGACUUUCGGCUAUUUAACCAGGAUCUACUAGCUAGGCAAGCUUGGUGAGGGCUAAUUCACCCAAACAGCUUAUGUGUGCAAUUAUUAAAGGCAAAGUAUUACCCAAGUGGUAGAUUGGAGGACACCGUAUUUUCCGGAAAUCCAUCACCAACAUGGCAAGGCAUUAGUCAUGCUCUGGAAUUAUUGAAAAAGGGCAUUGUAUGGAGAAUUGCAAAUGGGCAAAAUGUACGAAUAUGGAGGGACCGAUGGCUGGUACGUGAACCUACUGGUGGUUUGAUAACACAGAAGGGGAGGUGCCGAUUUAAGUGGGUUUCCCAGUUGCUUGAUCACAGUGGUGCUUGGGAUAUGGCAAAGCUUCAGCAGUUUUUUCUUCCUAUUGAUGUUUGUGAGAUCACCAAGAUCCGGACUUCACCUAGAAUGGGGGAAGAUUUCAUCGCUUGGGUUCUAGAAAAGUCGGGAGUAUUUUUUGUGAGAAGUGCAUACCGGCUAGCCGCGGAUGAGCAGUAUAAUUCUUUGAUUGCCUCCUCCAGUACACAUCCUGAUGGAGCUCGAGAUGGCUGGAAUGCAAUAUGGUCAAGCCCAGCCCCUCCGAAAGUGCUUUCUUUUGCAUGGCGACUAGCAACAAACUGUCUACCAACAUGGAGUAAUAAGAAGAGAAGAACUCUGGAGGUUGUGGGCACAUGCCUCGUGUGCAAAACCACAGAUGAGGACACUUUUCAUGCUUUUUGUGCAUGCAUCAAUGCACGGCACCUAUGGCAUGCUAUGACUACUAAAUGGGAACUCCCGGACAUAACAAAAAUCCUUCCAACCGGUGAGGAGUGGUUCGUUCAACUAGCCUGUAGACUGGAAGAGUCUAUGCGAGUUAGACUAAUGAUGCUUCUGUGGCGUAUUUGGUAG